Molecule: ribosomal RNA, 467 nt
Filed under: uncultured bacterium
Lineage: Bacteria
Description: bacterial SSU rRNA
Rfam family: Bacterial small subunit ribosomal RNA
Source: RNAcentral
CUGCCAGACUCCUACGGGAGGCAGCAGUGAGGAAUAUUGGUCAAUGGGCGCGAGCCUGAACCAGCCAAGUCGCGUGAGGGAGGACGGCCCUACGGGUUGUAAACCUCUUUUGCCGGGGAGCAACGGGCGUCACGUGUGGCGCCACUGAGAGUACCCGGAGAAAAAGCAUCGGCUAACUCCGUGCCAGCAGCCGCGGUAAUACGGAGGAUGCGAGCGUUAUCCGGAUUUAUUGGGUUUAAAGGGUGCGCAGGCGGAAUGUCAAGUCAGCGGUAAAAUUUCGGGGCUCAACCCCGUCGUGCCGUUGAAACUGGCGUUCUUGAGUGAGCGAGAAGUAUGCGGAAUGCGUGGUGUAGCGGUGAAAUGCAUAGAUAUCACGCAGAACUCCGAUUGCGAAGGCAGCAUACCGGCGCUCAACUGACGCUCAUGCACGAAAGCGUGGGUAUCGAACAGGAUUAGAUACCCGAGUA